This 444-nucleotide ribosomal RNA is filed under the name uncultured bacterium. RNAcentral's name for it is "bacterial SSU rRNA". It matches the Rfam family "Bacterial small subunit ribosomal RNA", at positions 354 to 796 of the family's 1533-position model. The record is from RNAcentral.
GUGAGGAAUAUUGGUCAAUGGGCGAGAGCCUGAACCAGCCAAGUCGCGUGAGGGAAGACGGUCCUACGGAUUGUAAACCUCUUUUGUCGGGGAACAAAAGGCGCCACGCGUGGUGUAUAGAGUGUACCCGAAGAAAAAGCAUCGGCUAACUCCGUGCCAGCAGCCGCGGUAAUACGGAGGAUGCGAGCGUUAUCCGGAUUUAUUGGGUUUAAAGGGUGCGCAGGCGGCGGAUCAAGUCAGCGGUCAAACUUCGGGGCUCAACCCCGUUUUGCCGUUGAAACUGAUCGGCUGGAGUCUGUUCGAGGGACGCGGAAUGCGAGGUGUAGCGGUGAAAUGCAUAGAUAUCACGCAGAACUCCGAUUGCGAAGGCAGCGUCCCGGGGCGGCACUGACGCUGAGGCACGAAAGUGUGGGUAUCGAACAGGAUUAGAAACCCUAGUAGUCC